This 468-nucleotide ribosomal RNA is filed under the name uncultured bacterium. RNAcentral's name for it is "partial 16S ribosomal RNA". It matches the Rfam family "Bacterial small subunit ribosomal RNA", at positions 28 to 507 of the family's 1533-position model. The record is from RNAcentral.
GACGAACGCUGGCGGCGUGCUUAACACAUGCAAGUCGAACGGAAAGGCCCUGCUUUUGUGGGGUGCUCGAGUGGCGAACGGGUGAGUAACACGUGAGUAACCUGCCCUUGACUUUGGGAUAACUUCAGGAAACUGGGGCUAAUACCGGAUAGGAGCUCCUGCUGCAUGGUGGGGGUUGGAAAGUUUCGGCGGUUGGGGAUGGACUCGCGGCUUAUCAGCUUGUUGGUGGGGUAGUGGCUUACCAAGGCUUUGACGGGUAGCCGGCCUGAGAGGGUGACCGGCACAGUGGGGAAUGAGAUACGGCCCGGAAUCGUCGGGGAGGCAGAAGGGGGAAGUAGGGCAAAAGGGGGGGAAGCCGGAUGCAGCAACGCCGGGGGGGGGAUGAAGGCCUUCGGGUUGUAAACCGCUCCCGCCGGGGGAGAGGGGGGGGUGAGGGUAGUGGGUAAAGAAGCACCGGCUAACUACGUG